UGGGGAAUAUUGGACAAUGGGCGAAAGCCUGAUCCAGCCAUGCCGCGUGUGUGAAGAAGGUCUUCGGAUUGUAAAGCACUUUAAGUUGGGAGGAAGGGUUGUAGUUUAAUACGCUGCAAUCUUGACGUUACCAACAGAAUAAGCACCGGCUAACUCUGUGCCAGCAGCCGCGGUAAUACAGAGGGUGCAAGCGUUAAUCGGAAUUACUGGGCGUAAAGCGCGCGUAGGCGGCUUGAUAAGAUGGGUGUGAAAUCCCCGGGCUUAACCUGGGAACUGCAUCCAUAACUGUCUGGCUAGAGUACAGUAGAGGGUGGUGGAAUUUCCUGUGUAGCGGUGAAAUGCGUAGAGAUGGGAAGGAACACCAGUGGCGAAGGCGACUGACUGGCUCGAUACUGACACUGAGGUGCGAAAGCGUGGGGAGCAAACAGGAUUAGAUACC
RNAcentral lists this ribosomal RNA (439 nucleotides) under uncultured bacterium. RNAcentral's name for it is "bacterial SSU rRNA". It matches the Rfam family "Bacterial small subunit ribosomal RNA", at positions 355 to 786 of the family's 1533-position model. The record is from RNAcentral.